GGUGACAUUGCUAAUUUGCUGCCUUGCUGUCAAAGGCGCCGGCUCUUCACUCUUGGUUUGCUCGCUUUGACUCCUCUUCAAGCUGUCAAGCAACAAAGCAGAAGACUUUGGUUCAAUUUCUGGGUUCUUCCUUCAAGCUCAAGAGUUGGAUUUGUUUUGGACCGGGAAGGAAGUUUGCAUUGUGUGAGCUUGCACUGUAGCAUUUGUGCCUUUUUGAGUAGUGGUGGCGUGCUUGUUUGUGUGUAGUCUGGAGUGGAAGUUGGGAUGCUACUGAGGAAGAGAAGCUGGAUUUCGAAGUAGUCCGGAAGAGGGGAGGUCUUAGGCAUUUGCAUUAUCAGUGAGAUGAGUAUAAAUGAUGAGUCCCAAUUUAUAUCUACGGAGGAAAGAGAAGAUGCAACAGGAAAUGUAUAAAGAGAUGAUUUGGCUUCUAGAAGAAAUCGGACGAAAGAAAAGAAAUUAUAUACAUAGCUCAGCAACUAUAGCAUGAAAUUCAAAGAGAACUUGUCUUUGCAUCAUUCCUUAAAGCUUUGUGCAGAAUUCCUUAAAGCUUUUCUAUAACCCGUUACAAGCAUGAAGCAUAUGUCUUUGGACUGGGCAAUAUAUGUUUGUCUUUGGACUGGACAAUAUAAGGACUAAUCUGCUGUCACUUUUGUACAAUGAAAAUUAGAAUUUCAUUGCAGUUCUUAAUUCUUUUCAGAUAAUUCAAGUAAUUCAUUCCGUGAGCUGUUUACUUGCAGGAACUUAAAAUGGGAAAGUCUGCAUAUUCAAGUAAGUUGCAUCUUGUUCUUUAUUAGAAUAGUGAGGGUCUUGGACUUCAGAGUAGUUAAAAGUGUACAUGGGUCACAAUAAUGGCUCAAGUUUAGUUCAAUACAAAGAAAAAAGAAAAAAAAAAAAAGUACCUUCUGAUUUUUGUCAAGUAUUUGGUGAAUACAACGAAUUAUUGCUUGAUGCUUGCAACUAUUACAAGUUACUGAUGCCAUUAGCACCUAGGAUCUUAGGUAUAAUUCGUCAUACAAAACAACCUUUGAUGCUUGCAACUACUGCAAAUUACAUAUUGAUGCCAUUAAUACCUAUCAAGCAUGUACACUGAGAUGUUGUUUUGUAUCAAUAAGUUUGAACCUUAUAAGCCGUCUAACUUGUUUUCUGAUGCUCUUCUAUUUUUUGGCAUAUCAUCUUUGAUACCAUUAACCCCUGUUUGGAGAUGAGUUUUUGUAGUUUCACUUUUAAGAAACUUUUAGUUGUGCCUUUUG
This is a long non-coding RNA of Rosa chinensis, 1250 nucleotides long. RefSeq lists it as uncharacterized. The record is from RefSeq and is a predicted model, not a curated record. NCBI's taxonomy places the organism in Eukaryota, Viridiplantae, Streptophyta, Magnoliopsida, Rosales, Rosaceae. The transcript is spliced from 6 exons.